This 253-nucleotide ribosomal RNA is filed under the name uncultured bacterium. RNAcentral's name for it is "partial 16S ribosomal RNA". It matches the Rfam family "Bacterial small subunit ribosomal RNA", at positions 524 to 776 of the family's 1533-position model. The record is from RNAcentral.
UACGGGGGGGGCAAGCGUUGUUCGGAAUUACUGGGCGUAAAGGGUUCGUAGGUGGCCCGCUAAGUCACACGUGAAAUCCCUCAGCUUAACUGGGGAACUGCGUGUGAGACUGGCGGGCUUGAGUGCAGGAGAGGAACGCGGAAUUCCAGGUGUAGCGGUGAAAUGCGUAGAUAUCUGGAGGAACACCGGUGGCGAAGGCGACAUCCUGGACCGGUAUUGACGCUGAGGCGCGAAAGCCAGGGGAGCAAACGGG